This is a long non-coding RNA of Salvelinus sp. IW2-2015, 167 nucleotides long. RefSeq lists it as uncharacterized. Lineage: Eukaryota; Metazoa; Chordata; Actinopteri; Salmoniformes; Salmonidae. The record is from RefSeq and is a predicted model, not a curated record.
GAACCCUCUUAUAGAGGAUCAGAUGACGGAGAUGGAGGUAAGUACAGCUUCUGUCUCUGUCUAAAGAACCCUCUUAUAGAGGAUCAGAUGACGGAGAUGGAGAAUCGUUCAACGGUUCUCCAACAGGAAGCAUUAAUCUGUCUCUGGAUGACCUGUCGAACUCUGCC